UCCACUAUAUUUCAGUGGUAGAAUGGCCCGAUCCUAUUGUUAGUGCGUAGGAUGGAGGUCGGGGGUUCGAUUCCUCCUAGUGGCA
Non-coding RNA from Mycena maculata, 85 nucleotides. The record is from the annotation of a GenBank genome assembly. Lineage: Eukaryota; Fungi; Basidiomycota; Agaricomycetes; Agaricales; Mycenaceae.